CGAGAAGGUAUGCAUGAUGGAUGCCAGACUAUCUAAGCCGGCUCUUUUGGACGCAAAGAAACAGCAGCGUGGGCUCCCUCGUCUAUUUCUAAGGCUGAGCUCAGUCACCCUACGCAGAGAAGUCAUUUUGGGUUUCUUCUCAGAGCUCAGGACCACAGGAUGAGCUGGAUGACGCUGCAGAGGUUUGGAAUACACCAUCAGGCCAUCAGAAAACAUCAAUAUCCCCAGUGGUCGGCUAACGUACCGUAUACAUUACCUGAGCUCAAAGGGACAAGAGACUUCCUUUGCCCCACUGAAGAAGAACAUGUUGAACUGUUUAAAAACGAGUAUGUUUUUCCACUGACCGAACCAUGUGAUCCAGAUGUAUAUGAACUGUGCAAUAUCCUUAUGAACCCCAUCUGACUCCACCAACAGACCCAUAUCAGGCUGUGAACUUGUACAUACAUGUAAGAGAGUCCAUCAUGGCAUCAGUGUAAAACACAUGCACUGCAGCAGAGAACAUUUCUCAAAAUUGACCUGUGCUAUAUGUGAGAAA
This is a long non-coding RNA of Oreochromis aureus, 535 nucleotides long. The record is from Ensembl. NCBI's taxonomy places the organism in Eukaryota, Metazoa, Chordata, Actinopteri, Cichliformes, Cichlidae.